RNAcentral lists this transfer RNA (72 nucleotides) under Camelus bactrianus (Bactrian camel). It matches the Rfam family "tRNA". From Rfam's summary of the family: Transfer RNA (tRNA) molecules are approximately 80 nucleotides in length. Their secondary structure includes four short double-helical elements and three loops (D, anti-codon, and T loops). RNAcentral also lists the same sequence under 2 other names. The record is from Rfam by way of RNAcentral. Lineage: Eukaryota; Metazoa; Chordata; Mammalia; Artiodactyla; Camelidae.
GAGGGUAUAGCUCAGUGGUAGAGUGCAUGCCUAGCAUGCACGAAGUCCUGGGUUCAAUCCCCAGCACCUCCA